AACGAACGCUGGCGGCAUGCCUAACACAUGCAAGUCGAACGAGACCUUCGGGUCUAGUGGCGCACGGGUGAGUAACGCGUGGGAACCUGCCCUUAGGUUCGGAAUAACUCCCCGAAAGGGGUGCUAAUACCGGAUAAUGUCUUCGGACCAAAGAUUUAUCGCCUUUGGAUGGGCCCGCGUUGGAGUAGCUAGUUGGUAGGGUAAAAGCCUACCAAGGCGACGAUCCAUAGCUGGUCUGAGAGGAUGAUCAGCCACACUGGGACUGAGACACGGCCCAGACUCCUACGGGAGGGAGCAGUGGGGAAUAUUGGAAAAUGGGCGAAGGACUGAUCCAGCAAUGCCGCGUGAGCGAUGAAGGCCUUAGGGUUGUAAAGCUCUUUUAACCGGGAUGAUAAUGACAGUACCGGGAGAAUAAGCUCCGGCUAACUCCGUG
This 433-nucleotide ribosomal RNA is filed under the name uncultured bacterium. Its description in RNAcentral is "partial 16S ribosomal RNA". It matches the Rfam family "Bacterial small subunit ribosomal RNA", at positions 29 to 507 of the family's 1533-position model. The record is from RNAcentral.